CGGGGUGAGUAACGCGUGGGUAACCUGCCUCAUACAGGGGGAUAACAGUUAGAAAUGACUGCUAAUACCGCAUAAGCGCACAGUGCUGCAUGGCACGGUGUGAAAAACUCCGGUGGUAUGAGAUGGACCCGCGUCUGAUUAGCUAGUUGGUGGGGUAACGGCCUACCAAGGCGACGAUCAGUAGCCGGCCUGAGAGGGUGAACGGCCACAUUGGGACUGAGACACGGCCCAA
This 232-nucleotide ribosomal RNA is filed under the name uncultured bacterium. RNAcentral's name for it is "partial 16S ribosomal RNA". It matches the Rfam family "Bacterial small subunit ribosomal RNA", at positions 104 to 334 of the family's 1533-position model. The record is from RNAcentral.